CCCUUAGAUGUCCUGGGCUGCACGCGCGCUACACUGAUGUGUCCAGUAAGCACCUAACCUCUUCCGAAAGGAACGGGUAACCUUUGCAAAGCACAUCGUGAUGGGGAUAGAUUAUUGCAAUUAUUAGUCUUGAACGAGGAAUUCCUAGUAAGCACAAGUCAUCAGCUUGUGUUGAUUACGUCCCUGCCCUUUGUACACACCGCCCGUCGCUCCUACCGAUUGAAUGUUCCGGUGAGCUCUUCGGACUGCGCAGUCUGCAGUUUCUGCGUUCCGUGCGGAAAGUUGCGCAAACCUUAACAUUUAGAGGAAGGAGAAGUCGUAACA
RNAcentral lists this ribosomal RNA (324 nucleotides) under uncultured eukaryote. RNAcentral's name for it is "partial 18S ribosomal RNA". It matches the Rfam family "Eukaryotic small subunit ribosomal RNA", at positions 1470 to 1796 of the family's 1831-position model. The record is from RNAcentral.